GAUGAAGAACGUAGCGAAAUGCGAUAAGUAAUGUGAAUCGCAGAAUUCAGUGAAUCAUCGAAUCUUUGAACGCACAUUGCGCCCGCCAGUAUUCUGGCGGGCAUGCCUGUUCGAGCGUCAUUUCAACCAUCAAGCCCCCCGGCUUGUGUUGGGGACCUGCGGCUGCCGCAGGCCCUGAAAAGCAGUGGCGGGCUCGCUGUCACACCGAGCGUAGUAGAUCUCAUCUCGCUCAGGGCGUGCUGCGGGUUCCGGCCGUUAAACCACCUUCAUAACCCAAGGUUGACCUCGGAUCAGGUAGGAAGACCCGCUGAACUUAAGCAUAUCAAUAAGCGGAGGA
Molecule: unclassified non-coding RNA, 337 nt
Filed under: soil metagenome
Description: partial contains 5.8S ribosomal RNA, internal transcribed spacer 2, and large subunit ribosomal RNA
Rfam family: 5.8S ribosomal RNA (bases 1-120)
Source: RNAcentral